Molecule: ribosomal RNA, 766 nt
Filed under: Pseudomonas gessardii
Lineage: Bacteria; Pseudomonadati; Pseudomonadota; Gammaproteobacteria; Pseudomonadales; Pseudomonadaceae
Description: bacterial SSU rRNA
Rfam family: Bacterial small subunit ribosomal RNA
Source: RNAcentral
GAUCCUGGCUCAGAUUGAACGCUGGCGGCAGGCCUAACACAUGCAAGUCGAGCGGUAGAGAGAAGCUUGCUUCUCUUGAGAGCGGCGGACGGGUGAGUAAUGCCUAGGAAUCUGCCUGGUAGUGGGGGAUAACGUUCGGAAACGGACGCUGAUACCGCAUACGUCCUACGGGAGAAAGCAGGGGACCUUCGGGCCUUGCGCUAUCAGAUGAGCCUAGGUCGGAUUAGCUAGUUGGUGGGGUAAUGGCUCACCAAGGCGACGAUCCGUAACUGGUCUGAGAGGAUGAUCAGUCACACUGGAACUGAGACACGGUCCAGACUCCUACGGGAGGCAGCAGUGGGGAAUAUUGGACAAUGGGCGAAAACCUGAUCCAGCCAUGCCGCGUGUGUGAAGAAGGUCUUCGGAUUGUAAAGCACUUUAAGAAGGGAGGAAGGGUUGUAGAUUAAUACUCUGCAAUUUUGACGUAACCGACAGAAUAAGCACCGGCUAACUCUGUGCCAGCAGCCGGGGUAAUACAGGGGGUGCAAGCUUUAAUCGGAAUUACUGGGCGUAAAGCGCGCGUAGGUGGUUAGUUAAGUUGGAUGUGAAAUCCCCGGGCUCAACCUGGGAACUGCAUUCAAAACUGACUGACUAGAGUAUGGUAGAGGGUGGUGGAAUUUCCUGUGUAGCGGUGAAAUGCGUAGAUAUAGGAAGGAACACCAGUGGCGAAGGCGACCACCUGGACUGAUACUGACACUGAGGUGCGAAAGCGUGGGGAGCAAACAGG